CCUUUUUCCAGCAUGGGAACCUGCAGUUCGCUGUAGUUCCCUGUCUGUAUCCAUGUCUUUUGCGCACUUGAACGUUUCCUCGGCGGCUUACCCCGUCGAAUGGACAACUAUAUAAACCUUUUUUGCAGUUGCAAUCAGCGUCUGAAUGAAUAUAUAAUAUUUA
RNAcentral lists this unclassified non-coding RNA (163 nucleotides) under uncultured fungus. RNAcentral describes it as "sequence contains ITS1". The record is from RNAcentral. Lineage: Eukaryota; Fungi.